This 467-nucleotide ribosomal RNA is filed under the name uncultured bacterium. RNAcentral describes it as "partial 16S ribosomal RNA". It matches the Rfam family "Bacterial small subunit ribosomal RNA", at positions 28 to 506 of the family's 1533-position model. The record is from RNAcentral.
GACGAACGCUGGCGGCGUGCUUAACACAUGCCAGUCGAACGGAAAGGCCCUGCUUUUGUGGGGUGCUCGAGUGGCGAACGGGUGAGUAACACGUGAGUAACCUGCCCUUGACUUUGGGAUAACUUCAGGAAACUGGGGCUAAUACCGGAUAGGAGCUCCUGCUGCAUGGUGGGGGUUGGAAAGUUUCGGCGGUUGGGGAUGGACUCGCGGCUUAUCAGCUUGUUGGUGGGGUAGUGGCUUACCAAGGCUUUGACGGGUAGCCGGCCUGAGAGGGUGACCGGCCACAUGGGGACUGAGAUACGGCCCAGACUCCUACGGGAGGCAGCAGUGGGGAAUAUUGCACAAUGGGCGGAAGCCUGAUGCAGCAACGCCGCGUGCGGGAUGACGGCCUUCGGGUGGUAAACCGCUUUCGCCUGUGACGAAGCGUGAGUGACGGUAAUGGGGAAAGAAGCACCGGCGAACUACGU